RNAcentral lists this microRNA precursor (279 nucleotides) under Medicago truncatula (barrel medic). RNAcentral describes it as "MIR2655 microRNA precursor family". It matches the Rfam family "MIR2655 microRNA precursor family". The record is from Rfam by way of RNAcentral. Lineage: Eukaryota; Viridiplantae; Streptophyta; Magnoliopsida; Fabales; Fabaceae.
CCCUUAACUAUUAAAAGUUUCAUUUUGGUCCCUUAACUUAUUUUUUGAUUUCGUUUUGGUCCCUUAACUUAUUUUUUGGUUUCAUUUUGGUUCCUUAACUCUAAUACAUUCAUCCUAACAUAAAGGACUAAAGUGGUUGACGGAGGAAGAGUUAAGGAAUCAAAACGAAACCAAAAAGUAAGUUAAAUGACCAAAACGAAACUUUUAAUAGUUAAGGGAUCAAAACGAAAUCAAAAAGUAAGUUAAGGGACCAAAACGAAACUUUUAAUAGUUAAGAGA